This 446-nucleotide ribosomal RNA is filed under the name uncultured bacterium. RNAcentral's name for it is "bacterial SSU rRNA". It matches the Rfam family "Bacterial small subunit ribosomal RNA", at positions 330 to 792 of the family's 1533-position model. The record is from RNAcentral.
GCCAGACUCCUACGGGAGGCAGCAGUGGGGAAUAUUGCACAAUGGGGGAAACCCUGAUGCAGCAACGCCGCGUGAGUGAAGAAGUCAUUCGUGAUGUAAAGCUCUAUCAGCAGGGAAGAAGGAGGACGGUACCUGACUAAGAAGCCCCGGCUAACUACGUGCCAGCAGCCGCGGUAAUACGUAGGGGGCAAGCGUUAUCCGGAUUUACUGGGUGUAAAGGGGGCGCAGACGGCAGCGCAAGCCAGGAGUGAAAGCCCGGGGCCCAACCCCGGGACUGCCCUUGGAACUGUGCGGCUAGAGUGCGGGAGGGGCAGGCGGAAUUCCUGGUGUAGCGGUGAAAUGCGUAGAUAUCAGGAGGAACACCGGCGGCGAAGGCGGCCUGCUGGACCGCGACUGACGUUGAGGCUCGAAAGCGUGGGGAGCGAACAGGAUUAGAUACCCCAGUA